GGGUACGAGCUUGCAAAGUGCACGCGCAUUUUCUGCAAGCUGGUUGGUGCGGAGCUGGACGAGGCAAAUUAAUUGGAAGGUGCUGCUGACUGCAACAAAACAAAAUGCCUCGUAAGGAGAGGAGGAAGAAACGGCUACAAAAGGAGCUGUGUGAGGCUGCUAAAGGCAGUGGAUCCCUCACCAGCUGGAUUAAAAAGAGCACAGUCUCAAAACAACACAGCCCUGCCCUCCAGCACUAUCAGCAG
Pelmatolapia mariae (spotted tilapia) is the source of this 245-nucleotide long non-coding RNA. RefSeq lists it as uncharacterized. The record is from RefSeq and is a predicted model, not a curated record. NCBI's taxonomy places the organism in Eukaryota, Metazoa, Chordata, Actinopteri, Cichliformes, Cichlidae. The transcript is spliced from 3 exons.